Pteropus alecto (black flying fox) is the source of this 523-nucleotide RNA transcript. It is a transcript of the gene named cystatin B, with no coding region annotated. The record is from RefSeq and is a predicted model, not a curated record. Lineage: Eukaryota; Metazoa; Chordata; Mammalia; Chiroptera; Pteropodidae. The transcript has 3 exons.
CGCCCUGGCGUGCAGCCAACGCACACCGCCAGGGGCUCGGACUCCUCACUCACUUCACCCCCACCACCCCAGAGCCGAAGAAACGCCCACCCUCCAGGACCCAUGCCUGACCCUCCACCUCCCCCGCUCGUGACGCCCCCCCGAGGAUGCCACACCAGGUGGGUGGGGACAGACACUAGGCGCACAGCACUCGCCCCACUGAGGGUGCCCCCCGCGGGGGUCCCAGGUUGCGUAGUAAGUUGACAUCCGGCCAGCCAGGCCCCGCCUCGCCGCAAGCACGGCCCUCGGACCGCCCCCUGCGUGCGUCCGCCGGCGUCACGUAGCCUGAAGUUGCUAAGGCGGAGGGUUCGCAAGCAGCCGCGCCAGCGACCCGCUUCUCCUCCGUUCCCGCCGCUCCUCCGUGCCCGCCGCUGAGCCAUGAGCCGUAUCGGGAGGAUGUGCGGCGGGACCUCCGCCACCCAGCCCGCCACGGCCAACAUCCAGGACAUCACCGACCAGGUGAAGUGUCAGUUGGAGGAGAAGA